Molecule: long non-coding RNA, 2443 nt
Organism: Cercocebus atys (sooty mangabey)
Lineage: Eukaryota; Metazoa; Chordata; Mammalia; Primates; Cercopithecidae
Exons: 7
Source: RefSeq, a predicted model, not a curated record
CUUUGCUGAACUGUGGAAAAAUAACAUGAAUAAGAAAGUCAACAAUUUUACUUCCUGGGAAAUUGCAACUUCCAAGGUGUGAAAAAAGAAGGGAGAAAAAUCAUUGGAAUCCAUAUUCAGGGACUGAGGCAAACAUGAAGAGGGCUUCAAAUUACAUAAUUGGAAUCAACGUGGCCAAAUAACUUUGAAAAGAGAGAGAGAGAGAAAGAACCAAGAAAGGCUCUGAGUCCACUCUACCAGACACAUGGAAUAUAAAAAGAAGUUCAAAAGACUAAAUGAUUUGUCUUACCCUAAGGGCAAAGGGCAAGGAGACAGUCAGAACUUCUCACAUUCCUCAUUGCUGCCACAACUUCCUUCCCAACCACCCCGGUGAAAAACAAACAUCGGAAAGGAGGAGAUGAGGAAACUGAAGCAGAGAAAUAAGGAAUCUGUCCAAAUCUCACAGCAAUGAUAGCACAGUUCAGAGGACCAAGAAGCUGAGGGAUAGUGCAAUGUGAGGCAAUGCCCUUAAUGAUCCUUGACCCAGGGACUGUUGGUAAUUUGCAUUGCUUCUACUGAGUUGCCUCAUGCUGCUGAUGUCUGAAGAUGCAAAUUUUCUUUUUAAAAUUGGGAGUGGUAUCAAGUCCAACUAAACUUCACUGGGUUAUGGAUGCAGGAAAUUAUGUUCCAUUUGAUGACUGCAGUGAUGCCAAAAGAAACCGGAAAGACAAAUGCCUGCCUUAAAUAUUGAGACAGAGAUAGAUGGACUAAAAGAUGCACUAUAGGAAAACAGCAACAAAAGCUUUAGUUAGUGAGAAUCUUAUUCCUUCGCUAGAUUCAGUUCAUCUUUUUCACUCCAGUACCAGCUUUACCCAUAAAUUAUUUUUCUGUUUCUAAGAAAUUGAAAUGUUGGUUGCUCAACACUAAGGUGUGUAAUCCUGAGGACUUCUUCAUUUAUUCCUACGUUCAUUCAUUCAAUACUUUUCAAGCACCUCCUAUCUUGUGGGAUGCAUUUUGGGAGGUGUUGUAUGUAGUGACAAAUAUUAUUGCUAAUUUUUACAUCAUAUUGUAUAUGUCAUAUACUGUUCUAUCUGUCUUAUGUAUAUUAAUUCAUUUGAUCCUCACCACAACCCUAUGAUGUUGUAAUUAUUAUCCCCAUUUUACAGAUGAGGAAAAUGAGAGAGGUUGAGCAACUUGUUCAAGGUCAUUGUAUUAGUCAUGUUUUUCAUUUUCUGUAUCUUAUGUUUUGAAAUCUUAAAAAUCUUGGUGGUCAGUGAAGUCUGUCCUUCCAAGGGUGAGCCACUCUUUAGAGAUAACAAAGGGCUAGGCCAUGAGCAUACCUUUCAUACCCAAACCAACUAAUCUCCAAUCACCUGCUUUAUGUAGUCUCAUACACCAAGCCAAUAUUUCCUCUGACCUAAAUUAUUCCAGGGUCAGAUACCAGGCAACUAAGACCACUCCCAUAGCCCAAAGCCCAUUGGAAUUAUUCAAACUAGUCAAUCCUGAACAUGUUAUUCUACCCCACCUUGCCUUUCGUACAGAAACACCAAUAAAACCUCUGGCCUAGGCUUCCUCCAAAGCCCUAUUUCUGUCUCCUAUCCAAAUCUGCUGUCUCUUCCUGUGGCCCUGCAUGGCAUGCCACACCUCUUGUUUCUCAAAGUGUGAAUGACAUUAAACUUUUCUUUCAGUGGCAUUGAUGUCUCCAUGUCAUCUAUCAGUCACUGUGUUAAAUUAAGACCUGAGCACUAUUUACUUAUAAAUUUGAGUCUGUGCUCUUAACGUAUGUGCUAUACUAAUAUAAAUAAUAACUUUAAAGGGCUCAUUGUUUUGUUGGGAAACAAAGUGAGAACCAAACUGUUAUAAAAUACCAUGUAAAUACAAUCAUAAAGAGAUCAUUGUUAUAACUGGCUCAUUUGAUAGCAGUAUUAUCAGUGUGAAAAUGUAUACCCUGGUUUAAUUCAUAUUUGGAGAAGUUUGUGUGAACUUGCUUGUUUUUAUUUAGUUCAUUUGAAUUCAACAAAUAUUUAAGCAUUUAUUAUAUGCAGACACUUUGUCAGUUACUGAAGACACACACACAAAAAGGGAGCAGAGGAUAAAAUGCAACUUUGAGUGGUGGAGUGGAGAACACAGGUACUUAAAUAGCAACCAUAAUACAGUGUAAUAGAUGCAAACACAGAGGAAUGACUGUGAGAACUCAAGGGAGGGGUAAUUAGUUUUGAUCCUAAAAAGCAGAUGGGGCAGGUGUGCAGUAAAAUUCCUGUGAAGAAUUAGAAAUUAGGAAAGUUUUGUGGGAGACGUCACAGGCUGGGGGCAGGAAAAGAGUGUGAAGUUUCAUUUAGUUUGAAAGGAACAGAAUUAGCCAGGAUUUUGAGGCAUGUUGUUAUGCAAAUCUGAUGAAUUGGUUUGUGUCUUUGAAGAUCUGAUUUUGUGGAAUACCAAAAAUGAGACUGGAUUAUUGAUAUGG